Long non-coding RNA from Apis laboriosa (Himalayan honeybee), 798 nucleotides. RefSeq lists it as uncharacterized. Lineage: Eukaryota; Metazoa; Arthropoda; Insecta; Hymenoptera; Apidae. The record is from RefSeq and is a predicted model, not a curated record. The transcript is spliced from 3 exons.
CGUCUGGAGAGUUAAAUACACUUUGGCGAAAAAAUGCUUUAAAGCAAAGACAUUUUUGCGCAAAAUGCACAUAAUGUGGAAUAAAUUGUCCAUAUGCAUAUUGUUUUACGCGACCAUAUGUUAAUGAUGGAUCAUAACUAAAUAUUAAUUAAUAUUAUUAAUUAACGAAGUUUAAAAUUUAUAUUAAAUUUAAAAAAUAUUUUAAAGAUUAGAUUUUAUAAAAAUGAAAGUUAUAUUUUUGCAUUUAUAUUUAUUUAUCUUACUGUGCAGAAUCUUCUUCUUUUACAUAUGCACUAGAUGCAACAUCUAUUGGUCUUCCUCCAAUUCCAGCGUUUCUAUCACGUACUACACGAUAACCAUUUAAAAAAUGAAAUUUUUGUAAUAAUCUAUAGUCUUUGAUCUUUAAAAAGAUAUGUUUUCACUUAAAUUUCAUUCUAAUAUGAUAAUUAUAAUAAUUAAUUUAUAAGUAUUUUGCUGACUUACGCUUGGAUCUUGAAAUCUAUAACCUGGUAAAAGUGCCAUACAUCCUGCAGACAAGCAGCCAGCCACUGGUACAGUAAUUAACCAUGCAAAUGCAAUAUUACGAAAUAAUUUCCAUGAAACUCCCUCACCACCAUGUGAAGCCCAUCCUACACAGACAACAGAUCCGACUUUGCAAUGAGUUGUUGACACAGUUUCAAUUUGAGCACCCUCAGUAUCUGAUCCUGCUACCAUUAAGAGAGGACUUGCACUGCUAUUGCCUCGUAAUUUUGGCGCUACUUCUUUUGCAUUACCAUUACUACUACUACUACAUGGGGC